CCUACGGGUGGCAGCAGUGGGGGAUAUUGGACAAUGGGGGAAACCCUGAUCCAGCGACGCCGCGUGAGUGAAGAAGUAUUUCGGUAUGUAAAGCUCUAUCAGCAGGGAAGAAAGAAAUGACGGUACCUGAGUAAGAAGCCCCGGCUAACUACGUGCCAGCAGCCGCGGUAAUACGUAGGGGGCAAGCGUUAUCCGGAUUUACUGGGUGUAAAGGGAGCGUAGACGGCAGCGCAAGUCUGGAGUGAAAUGCCGGGGCCCAACCCCGGAACUGCUCUGGAAACUGUGAAGCUGGAGUGCAGGAGAGGUAAGCGGAAUGCCUGGUGUAGCGGUGAAAUGCGUAGAUAUCAGGAGGAACACCGGCGGCGAAGGCGGCUUACUGGACUGUAACUGACGUUGAGGCUCGAAGGCGUGGGGAGCAAACAGGAUUAGAUACCCCAGUAGUC
Molecule: ribosomal RNA, 443 nt
Filed under: uncultured bacterium
Lineage: Bacteria
Description: partial 16S ribosomal RNA
Rfam family: Bacterial small subunit ribosomal RNA
Source: RNAcentral